GGCCUUGACAUGCAGAGAACUUUCCAGAGAGGGAUUGGUGCCUUCGGGAACUCUGACACAGGUGCUGCGUGGCUGUCGUCAGCUCGUGUCGUGAGAUGUUGGGUUAAGUCCCGUAACGAGCGCAACCCUUGUCCUUAGUUACCAGCACGUUAUGGUGGGCACUCUAAGGAGACUGCCGGUGACAAACCGGAGGAAAGGUGGGGAUGACGUCAAGUCAUCAUGGCCCUUACGGCCUGGGCUACACACGUGCUACAAUGGUCGGUACAAAGGGUUGCCAAGCCGCGAGGUGGAGCUAAUCCCAUAAAACCGAUCGUAGUCCGGAUCGCAGUCUGCAACUCGACUGCGUGAAGUCGGAAUCGCUAGUAAUCGUGAAUCAGAAUGUCACGGUGAAUACGUUCCCGGGCCUU
RNAcentral lists this ribosomal RNA (407 nucleotides) under uncultured Pseudomonas sp. RNAcentral's name for it is "bacterial SSU rRNA". It matches the Rfam family "Bacterial small subunit ribosomal RNA", at positions 977 to 1382 of the family's 1533-position model. The record is from RNAcentral. Lineage: Bacteria; Pseudomonadati; Pseudomonadota; Gammaproteobacteria; Pseudomonadales; Pseudomonadaceae.